CAUCUAAGUACCCCGAGGAAAAGAAAUCAACCGAGAUUCCCCCAGUAGCGGCGAGCGAACGGGGAGCAGCCCAGAGCCUGAAUCAGUGUGUGUGUUAGUGGAAGCGUCUGGAAAGGCGCGCGAUACAGGGUGACAGCCCCGUACACAAAAAUGCACAUACUGUGAGCUCGAUGAGUAGGGCGGGACACGUGGUAUCCUGUCUGAAUAUGGGGGGACCAUCCUCCAAGGCUAAAUACUCCUGACUGACCGAUAGUGAACCAGUACCGUGAGGGAAAGGCGAAAAGAACCCCGGCGAGGGGAGUGAAAAAGAACCUGAAACCGUGUACGUACAAGCAGUGGGAGCACGCUUAGGCGUGUGACUGCGUACCUUUUGUAUAAUGGGUCAGCGACUUAUAUUCUGUAGCAAGGUUAACCGAAUAGGGGAGCCGAAGGGAAACCGAGUCUUAACUGGGCGUUAAGUUGCAGGGUAUAGACCCGAAACCCGGUGAUCUAGCCAUGGGCAGGUUGAAGGUUGGGUAACACUAACUGGAGGACCGAACCGACUAAUGUUGAAAAAUUAGCGGAUGACUUGUGGCUGGGGGUGAAAGGCCAAUCAAACCGGGAGAUAGCUGGUUCUCCCCGAAAGCUAUUUAGGUAGCGCCUCGUGAAUUCAUCUCCGGGGGUAGAGCACUGUUUCGGCAAGGGGGUCAUCCCGACUUACCAACCCGAUGCAAACUGCGAAUACCGGAGAAUGUUAUCACGGGAGACACACGGCGGGUGCUAACGUCCGUCGUGAAGAGGGAAACAACCCAGACCGCCAGCUAAGGUCCCAAAGUCAUGGUUAAGUGGGAAACGAUGUGGGAAGGCCCAGACAGCCAGGAUGUUGGCUUAGAAGCAGCCAUCAUUUAAAGAAAGCGUAAUAGCUCACUGGUCGAGUCGGCCUGCGCGGAAGAUGUAACGGGGCUAAACCAUGCACCGAAGCUGCGGCAGCGACGCUUAUGCGUUGUUGGGUAGGGGAGCGUUCUGUAAGCCUGUGAAGGUGUGCUGUGAGGCAUGCUGGAGGUAUCAGAAGUGCGAAUGCUGACAUAAGUAACGAUAAAGCGGGUGAAAAGCCCGCUCGCCGGAAGACCAAGGGUUCCUGUCCAACGUUAAUCGGGGCAGGGUGAGUCGACCCCUAAGGCGAGGCCGAAAGGCGUAGUCGAUGGGAAACAGGUUA
This 1195-nucleotide ribosomal RNA is filed under the name Escherichia coli. RNAcentral describes it as "partial 23S ribosomal RNA". It matches the Rfam family "Bacterial large subunit ribosomal RNA", at positions 199 to 1432 of the family's 2925-position model. Lineage: Bacteria; Pseudomonadati; Pseudomonadota; Gammaproteobacteria; Enterobacterales; Enterobacteriaceae. The record is from RNAcentral.